RNAcentral lists this ribosomal RNA (402 nucleotides) under uncultured Sphingomonas sp. Its description in RNAcentral is "bacterial SSU rRNA". It matches the Rfam family "Bacterial small subunit ribosomal RNA", at positions 355 to 774 of the family's 1533-position model. The record is from RNAcentral. Lineage: Bacteria; Pseudomonadati; Pseudomonadota; Alphaproteobacteria; Sphingomonadales; Sphingomonadaceae.
UGGGGAAUAUUGGACAAUGGGCGAAAGCCUGAUCCAGCAAUGCCGCGUGAGUGAUGAAGGCCUUAGGGUUGUAAAGCUCUUUUACCCGGGAAGAUAAUGACUGUACCGGGAGAAUAAGCCCCGGCUAACUCCGUGCCAGCAGCCGCGGUAAUACGGAGGGGGCUAGCGUUGUUCGGAAUUACUGGGCGUAAAGCGCACGUAGGCGGCUUUGUAAGUAAGAGGUGAAAGCCUGGUGCUCAACACCAGAACUGCCUUUUAGACUGCAUCGCUUGAACGUCGGAGAGGUGAGUGGAAUUCCGAGUGUAGAGGUGAAAUUCGUAGAUAUUCGGAAGAACACCAGUGGCGAAGGCGGCUCACUGGACGACUGUUGACGCUGAGGUGCGAAAGCGUGGGGAGCAAACA